This is a transfer RNA of Loxodonta africana (African savanna elephant), 70 nucleotides long. It matches the Rfam family "tRNA". From Rfam's summary of the family: Transfer RNA (tRNA) molecules are approximately 80 nucleotides in length. Their secondary structure includes four short double-helical elements and three loops (D, anti-codon, and T loops). Lineage: Eukaryota; Metazoa; Chordata; Mammalia; Proboscidea; Elephantidae. The record is from Rfam.
ACUUUGGUGGUUCAGUGGUAGAAUUCUCACUUCCAUUUGGAAGACCUGGGUUCAAUUCCUGGCCAAUGCA